Molecule: ribosomal RNA, 454 nt
Filed under: uncultured bacterium
Lineage: Bacteria
Description: partial 16S ribosomal RNA
Rfam family: Bacterial small subunit ribosomal RNA
Source: RNAcentral
GAUGAACGCUGACAGAAUGCUUAACACAUGCAAGUCAACUUGAACUUCGGUUUGGGUGGCGGACGGGUGAGUAACGCGUAAAGAACUUGCCUCACAGUUAGGGACAACAUUUGGAAACGAAUGCUAAUACCUGAUAUUAUGAUUUUAGGGCAUCCUAGAAUUAUGAAAGCUAUAUGCGCUGUGAGAGAGCUUUGCGUCCCAUUAGCUAGUUGGAGAGGUAACGGCUCACCAAGGCGAUGAUGGGUAGCCGGCCUGAGAGGGUGAACGGCCACAAGGGGACUGAGACACGGCCCUUACUCCUACGGGAGGCAGCAGUGGGGAAUAUUGGACAAUGGCCCAAGAGUCUGAUCCAGAAAUUCUGUGUGCACGAUGAAGUUUUUCGGAAUGUAAAGUGCUUUCAGUUGGGAAGAAAAAAAUGACGAUACCAACAGAAGAAGUGACGGCUAAAUACGUG